AUACGGAGGGUGCAAGCGUUACUCGGAAUCACUGGGCGUAAAGCGCGCGCAGGCGGCUUGAUAAGUUGGAUGUGAAAGCCUACGGCUCAACCGUAGAACUGCAUCCAAAACUGUCAGGCUCGAGUGUGGGAGAGGAAGAUGGAAUUAGUUGUGUAGGGGUAAAAUCCGUAGAGAUAACUAGGAAUACCAAAAGCGAAGGCAAUCUUCUGGAACACUACUGACGCUGAGGCGCGAAGGCGUGGGGAGCAAACAGGAUUAGAUACCCCAGUAGUCC
Molecule: ribosomal RNA, 274 nt
Filed under: uncultured bacterium
Lineage: Bacteria
Description: partial 16S ribosomal RNA
Rfam family: Bacterial small subunit ribosomal RNA
Source: RNAcentral